GCGACCGUAGUCUAAUGGCAUGAUGCAACCUUGCCAAGGUUGUGGCCCGGGUUCAAUUCCCGGCGGUCGCA
RNAcentral lists this transfer RNA (71 nucleotides) under archaeon GW2011_AR10. RNAcentral describes it as "tRNA-Gly". It matches the Rfam family "tRNA". Rfam says of the family: Transfer RNA (tRNA) molecules are approximately 80 nucleotides in length. Their secondary structure includes four short double-helical elements and three loops (D, anti-codon, and T loops). The record is from RNAcentral. RNAcentral also lists the same sequence under 1 other name.